GCCACUUUUCACCCUUUUGGCUAAGAUCAAGUGUAGUAUCUGUUCUUAAUAGUUUAAUAUCUGAUACGUCCUCUAUCCAGUGAUAUUUUUAAACCUCUGAAUUUGGGGUAUGAUAAUCUACUGAAGCAAUUAAGUAAACAGAUUAUACAAGCUUAUGCAAAAUCCAUUUCCAAAGUUCAAGAAAG
Molecule: small nuclear RNA, 185 nt
Organism: Zalophus californianus (California sea lion)
Lineage: Eukaryota; Metazoa; Chordata; Mammalia; Carnivora; Otariidae
Gene: U2
Rfam family: U2 spliceosomal RNA
About the family: U2 is a small nuclear RNA (snRNA) component of the spliceosome (involved in pre-mRNA splicing). Complementary binding between U2 snRNA (in an area lying towards the 5' end but 3' to hairpin I) and the branchpoint sequence (BPS) of the intron results the bulging out of an unpaired adenosine, on the BPS, which initiates a nucleophilic attack at the intronic 5' splice site, thus starting the first of two transesterification reactions that mediate splicing.
Source: Ensembl